ACGUUGCUCGGAAUUACUGGGCGUAAAGCGCGUGUAGGCGGUGCCGCACGUCCGAUGUGAAAGCCCGGGGCUCAACCCCGGAAGUGCAUUGGAUACGACGGCGCUGGAGUCCUGAAGAGGAGAGCGGAAUUCCCGGUGUAGAGGUGAAAUUCGUAGAUAUCGGGAGGAACACCAGUGGCGAAGGCGGCUCUCUGGACAGGUACUGACGCUGAGACGCGAAAGCGUG
Molecule: ribosomal RNA, 226 nt
Filed under: uncultured bacterium
Lineage: Bacteria
Description: partial 16S ribosomal RNA
Rfam family: Bacterial small subunit ribosomal RNA
Source: RNAcentral